GAAAGUUUUUAAAAUUAAACUUCUAAUUUAAUUAAAAGCAUUAAUAUGUUAAACUUUUA
Molecule: transfer RNA, 59 nt
Filed under: Ammothea calmani
Lineage: Eukaryota; Metazoa; Arthropoda; Pycnogonida; Pantopoda; Ammotheidae
Description: tRNA-Ser
Source: RNAcentral